UACGUAGGGGGCAAGCGUUGUCCGGAAUCAUUGGGCGUAAAGAGCGCGUAGGCGGCCCUGUAAGUCCGCUGUGAAAGUCAAGGGCUCAACCCUUGGAUGCCGGUGGAUACUGCAGGGCUAGAGUCCGGAAGAGGCGAGUGGAAUUCCUGGUGUAGCGGUGAAAUGCGUAGAGAUCGGGAGGAACACCCGUAGCGAAGGCGGCCACCUGGGCCGACCCUGACGCUGAGGCGCGAAGGCCAGGGGAGCGAACGGG
This 253-nucleotide ribosomal RNA is filed under the name uncultured bacterium. RNAcentral describes it as "partial 16S ribosomal RNA". It matches the Rfam family "Bacterial small subunit ribosomal RNA", at positions 524 to 776 of the family's 1533-position model. The record is from RNAcentral.